UACAGAGGUCUCAACCGUUGUUCGGAUUUAUUGGGCGUAAAGGGUGCGUAGGCGGUUAUGUAAGUCAGGUGUGAAAUCUCGGGGCUCAACCUCGAAACUGCACUUGAUACUGCAUGACUAGAGUACUGGAGAGGAGACUGGAAUUUACGGUGUAGCAGUGAAAUGCGUAGAUAUCGUAAGGAAGACCAGUGGCGAAAGCGAGUCUCUGGACAGUUACUGACGCUGAGGCACGAAGGCUAGGGGAGCAAACGGG
RNAcentral lists this ribosomal RNA (253 nucleotides) under uncultured bacterium. Its description in RNAcentral is "partial 16S ribosomal RNA". It matches the Rfam family "Bacterial small subunit ribosomal RNA", at positions 524 to 776 of the family's 1533-position model. The record is from RNAcentral.